UGGGGAAUCUUGGACAAUGGGGGCAACCCUGAUCCAGCCAUGCCGCGUGAGUGAUGAAGGCCUUAGGGUCGUAAAGCUCUUUCGCCUGUGAAGAUAAUGACGGUAGCAGGUAAAGAAACCCCGGCUAACUCCGUGCCAGCAGCCGCGGUAAUACGAAGGGGGCUAGCGUUGUUCGGAUUUACUGGGCGUAAAGCGCACGUAGGCGGAUCGUUAAGUGAGGGGUGAAAUCCCAGGGCUCAACCCUGGAACUGCCUUUCAUACUGGCGAUCUGGAGUUCGAGAGAGGUGAGUGGAAUUCCGAGUGUAGAGGUGAAAUUCGUAGAUAUUUGGAGGAACACCAGUGGCGAAGGCGGCUCACUGGCUCGAUACUGACGCUGAGGUGCGAAAGUGUGGGGAGCAAACAGGAUUAGAUACCCUGGUAGUCCACACCGUAAACGAUGAAUGCCAGUCGUCGGGUAGCAUGCUAUUCGGUGACACACCUAACGGAUUAAGCAUUCCGCCUGGGGAGUACGGUCGCAGAUUAAAACUCAAAGGAAUU
Molecule: ribosomal RNA, 537 nt
Filed under: uncultured bacterium
Lineage: Bacteria
Description: bacterial SSU rRNA
Rfam family: Bacterial small subunit ribosomal RNA
Source: RNAcentral